AGACCCGAAACCCGGUGAUCUAGCCAUGGGCAGGUUGAAGGUUGGGUAACACUAACUGGAGGACCGAACCGACUAAUGUUGAAAAAUUAGCGGAUGACCUGUGGCUGGGGGUGAAAGGCCAAUCAAACCGGGAGAUAGCUGGUUCUCCCCGAAAGCUAUUUAGGUAGCGCCUCGUGAAUUCAUCUCCGGGGGUAGAGCACUGUUUCGGCUAGGGGGCCAUCCCGGCUUACCAACCCGAUGCAAACUGCGAAUACCGGAGAAUGUUAUCACGGGAGACACACGGCGGGUGCUAACGUCCGUCGUGAAGAGGGAAACAACCCAGACCGCCAGCUAAGGUCCCAAAGUCAUGGUUAAGUGGGAAACG
This 364-nucleotide ribosomal RNA is filed under the name Salmonella enterica subsp. enterica serovar Muenchen. Its description in RNAcentral is "partial 23S ribosomal RNA". It matches the Rfam family "Bacterial large subunit ribosomal RNA", at positions 711 to 1072 of the family's 2925-position model. Lineage: Bacteria; Pseudomonadati; Pseudomonadota; Gammaproteobacteria; Enterobacterales; Enterobacteriaceae. RNAcentral also lists the same sequence under 8 other names. The record is from RNAcentral.